CGGGCUGUGGCGCAGCUUGGUUAGCGCGUCGGUCUGGGGGACCGAAGGUCGUGGGUUCGAAUCCCGCCAGCCCGACCA
RNAcentral lists this transfer RNA (78 nucleotides) under Actinomycetes bacterium. Its description in RNAcentral is "tRNA-Pro". It matches the Rfam family "tRNA". Rfam says of the family: Transfer RNA (tRNA) molecules are approximately 80 nucleotides in length. Their secondary structure includes four short double-helical elements and three loops (D, anti-codon, and T loops). Further hydrogen bonds mediate the characteristic L-shaped molecular structure. tRNAs have two regions of fundamental functional importance: the anti-codon, which is responsible for specific mRNA codon recognition, and the 3' end, to which the tRNAs corresponding amino acid is attached (by aminoacyl-tRNA synthetases). tRNAs cope with the degeneracy of the genetic code in two manners: having more than one tRNA (with a specific anti-codon) for a particular amino acid; and 'wobble' base-pairing, i.e. permitting non-standard base-pairing at the 3rd anti-codon position. RNAcentral also lists the same sequence under 10 other names. Lineage: Bacteria; Bacillati; Actinomycetota; Actinomycetes. The record is from RNAcentral.